UACGUAGGUGGCAAGCGUUGUCCGGAUUUAUUGGGUUUAAAGGGUGCGUAGGCGGCCUUAUAAGUCAGUGCUGAAAUAUCCCGGCUUAACCGGGAGGGUGGCAUUGAUACUGUAGGGCUUGAGUGUAGUCGAGGUAGGCGGAAUUGACGGUGUAGCGGUGAAAUGCUUAGAUAUCAGGAGGAACACCGGUGGCGAAGGCGGGUCUCUGGGCCGAUACUGACGCUGAGGAGCGAAAGCGUGGGGAGCGAACAGG
This 253-nucleotide ribosomal RNA is filed under the name uncultured bacterium. Its description in RNAcentral is "partial 16S ribosomal RNA". It matches the Rfam family "Bacterial small subunit ribosomal RNA", at positions 524 to 776 of the family's 1533-position model. The record is from RNAcentral.